RNAcentral lists this ribosomal RNA (115 nucleotides) under Streptococcus pneumoniae. The record is from RNAcentral. Lineage: Bacteria; Bacillati; Bacillota; Bacilli; Lactobacillales; Streptococcaceae.
UAACACUUUUUACAGUUACCGAACAAGUCUANCCAUGCCGAACACAGAAGUUAAGCCCUAGAACGCCGGAAGUAGUUGGGGGUUGCCCCCUGUGAGAUAGGGAAGUCGCUUAGCU